Non-coding RNA from Pelobates cultripes (western spadefoot toad), 75 nucleotides. Lineage: Eukaryota; Metazoa; Chordata; Amphibia; Anura; Pelobatidae. The record is from the annotation of a GenBank genome assembly.
CAUAUCAACUUUCGAUGCCAUUGACUGCGCCUACCAUGGUGACCAUGGGUAACGGUGAAUCAGGGUUCGAUUCCG